RNAcentral lists this ribosomal RNA (422 nucleotides) under uncultured bacterium. RNAcentral describes it as "bacterial SSU rRNA". It matches the Rfam family "Bacterial small subunit ribosomal RNA", at positions 355 to 774 of the family's 1533-position model. The record is from RNAcentral.
UGAGGAAUAUUGGGCAAUGCCCGCAAGGGUGACCCAGCAACGCCGCGUGGAGGAUGAAUGUCGUAAGAUUGUAAACUCCUGUUAGAGGGGAAGAAUAGUACCGGUUGGACCGGUACAUGACUGUACCCUCAGAGAAAGCCCCGGCUAACUACGUGCCAGCAGCCGCGGUAAUACGUCGGGGGCAAGCGUUGUCCGGAUUUACUGGGUGUAAAGGGCGCGCAGGCGGGAUAAAAAGUCAGUGGUGAAAUCCUACAGCUUAACUGUAGAACUGCCUUUGAUACUUUUAUUCUUGAGUUCGGGAGAGAGAGACGGAAUUCCAGGUGUAGUGGUGAAAUACGUAGAUAUCUGGAAGAACACCAGUUGCGAAGGCGGUCUCUUGGUCCGACACUGACGCUGAGGCGCGAAAGCGUGGGGAGCAAACA